UAAAAGCUACAACUAAACGCACGGCUUGUAUUUGUAGCAACGUUUUUUUGCAAUUUUCUUAUGUGUGUGUGUUUGAGACCAAGUUUAAAAAUGCCGUGGUGGGGCAUAUACUAUGCAUGUAAAGAAGUAAUGCAGAUUGUGCUUUCACGCCUAUGAUUGGCGCAGUGGCGAGGAAGCUACAAAUGGCAGUGUGGCACGUGCCGCUGAUGAUCGCGCUCUAAUAACGCCCAGUGUUGGCACAGCAUCGAACAAAGCGCAUAAAAAAGUGAUAGUACAUUUGCCAGUAAUUAAUAAAUAGUUCAAGCCUAGAAUAUACACUGGUGAAUGUCAUUGGAAGUGACAUAGGUUAUGACGAUAAGCGCACAGAGUGCUACAUAUGCCACAAAUUGAUUUUGUGUGAAAUAUUAAUUGAAUUUUAAUAUGAUAAGCGGCAAGUUCAAACUGAUAUGCUAUCGUGACGGGAAAACUCUGUCAGGUCAGAACUUGAGAUAGCAGUUCUCUACAACCUUUUGAACAGAUUAUAAAGCGGAUAAUAAGCUACCGCGACAGUCUAGUCUGCGUCACCGGAACGGACCCGGAUUUUUAUGCGGCUAAGGACUGUCUGGGCACUGGGCGCCAUGCCUCGAAAUUACUUCAAUAAUGUUUUCUGCUGCUACAAAAACCACAACAACAUAAUAAAACGAUUUUUACGUACUACGAAACGAGUACCAACGCAUCACUUAAUAUUUGUAUGUGCGCUUUUUCAGUGCUUCAGCGCUAGCAUACGAGUACAUAUGUACUUAUAUGUAGUUGCUAUAAGAUUGAUUUUUGGCACAUUUAAACAAAAUGUUGCACUGAGUGAAUACGUAUGCGAAAACGCAAUUUAUUUUAAUAGAUCAUAACGUCUGUGGAUUAUGCUGUUGUUGCGCGCUUAAGCAAUUGAAGUUGUUUAUAACCAAAUUCACAAACGCCUCAUCAUUUAAUCAAUUAUUUAAUUUUCAUUUGCACUUUUUUUCCAAUUACGUGUUGAAGUCUUUUAAUAAAAUUUAAACCGUGAAAAAUUGUUGUUUUGAUUAAUUAAUUAAGGCGCGCACAAAAAAAAAAAAAAAUUGACGGCGUUUAAUAAAUAAAAUAAACGCCGACAAACCGUGAGGAAAAAGAAAAAAAAUUAUAAAAUUGAAAAAAGUCGCCUUGUUGUGGCGCGAUUAAACGCACGCGCUUAGUGUCGUCGUUGGACAGUGGCGCUAUUGUUGUUGUAAGCCUUACUGUUGGUUUUUUCUUUCGUUUUUUUUCUGCUAUUAAUUCGUUUUAAUAUAAUUCAAUUCCAAACGCUUUUGCAAUUGUGGGAAUUUCAUCAGCGUCGCUGUGCCGAUUUUCCGUGUUUGAGUACCGCGUGCAUUUAUUCGAAAGGCUGCUUAUAAUACGGUAUUGUUUUUUAGCUGUAUUUAGCCGUUAGUUUUCUCACUUAAACU
Molecule: non-coding RNA, 1451 nt
Organism: Bactrocera oleae (olive fruit fly)
Lineage: Eukaryota; Metazoa; Arthropoda; Insecta; Diptera; Tephritidae
Source: RefSeq, a predicted model, not a curated record